GGAAAUGUGCCCGAAGCUUAAGGGUUACUUUGAUAGAGUAAAUUAUAGAGGUUAAAAUCCACUCAUUUCCU
RNAcentral lists this transfer RNA (71 nucleotides) under Holbrookia propinqua. RNAcentral's name for it is "tRNA-Ile". It matches the Rfam family "tRNA". From Rfam's summary of the family: Transfer RNA (tRNA) molecules are approximately 80 nucleotides in length. Their secondary structure includes four short double-helical elements and three loops (D, anti-codon, and T loops). Further hydrogen bonds mediate the characteristic L-shaped molecular structure. tRNAs have two regions of fundamental functional importance: the anti-codon, which is responsible for specific mRNA codon recognition, and the 3' end, to which the tRNAs corresponding amino acid is attached (by aminoacyl-tRNA synthetases). tRNAs cope with the degeneracy of the genetic code in two manners: having more than one tRNA (with a specific anti-codon) for a particular amino acid; and 'wobble' base-pairing, i.e. permitting non-standard base-pairing at the 3rd anti-codon position. The record is from RNAcentral. Lineage: Eukaryota; Metazoa; Chordata; Lepidosauria; Squamata; Phrynosomatidae.